RNAcentral lists this ribosomal RNA (441 nucleotides) under uncultured bacterium. RNAcentral describes it as "partial 16S ribosomal RNA". It matches the Rfam family "Bacterial small subunit ribosomal RNA", at positions 338 to 795 of the family's 1533-position model. The record is from RNAcentral.
CCUACGGGAGGCAGCAGUGGGGGAUAUUGCACAAUGGGGGAAACCCUGAUGCAGCGACGCCGCGUGGGUGAGGAAGUAUUUCGGUAUGUAAAGCUCUAUCAGCAGGGACGAAAAAAGACGGUACCUGACUAAGAAGCCCCGGCUAACUACGUGCCAGCAGCCGCGGUAAUACGUAGGGGGCAAGCGUUAUCCGGAUUCACUGGGUGUAAAGGGAGCGUAGACGGCCGGGCAAGCCAGAAGUGAAAGCGCAGGGCUCAACCCUGUACAUGCUUGUGGAACUGUGGUGCUAGAGUGCGGGAGGGGCAAGUGGAAUUCCUGGUGUAGCGGUGAAAUGCGUAGAUAUUAGGAGGAACACCAGUGGCGAAGGCGGCUUGCUGGACUGUAACUAACGUUGAGGCUCGAAAGCGUGGGGAGCGAACAGGAUUAGAUACCCGGGUAGUC